RNAcentral lists this ribosomal RNA (690 nucleotides) under uncultured Vibrionaceae bacterium. RNAcentral's name for it is "bacterial SSU rRNA". It matches the Rfam family "Bacterial small subunit ribosomal RNA", at positions 1 to 671 of the family's 1533-position model. The record is from RNAcentral. Lineage: Bacteria; Pseudomonadati; Pseudomonadota; Gammaproteobacteria; Vibrionales; Vibrionaceae.
UAGAGUUUGAUCAUGGCUCAGAUUGAACGCUGGCGGCAGGCCUAACACAUGCAAGUCGAGCGGAAACGAGAAGUAGCUUGCUACUUCGGCGUCGAGCGGCGGACGGGUGAGUAAUGCCUGGGAAAUUGCCUUGAUGUGGGGGAUAACCAUUGGAAACGAUGGCUAAUACCGCAUAAUGCUUUUGUUUGUAAUGAACGGGAGCCAAAGAGGGGGACCUUCGGGCCUCUCGCGUCAAGAUAUGCCCAGGUGGGAUUAGCUAGUUGGUGAGGUAAUGGCUCACCAAGGCGACGAUCCCUAGCUGGUCUGAGAGGAUGAUCAGCCACACUGGAACUGAGACACGGUCCAGACUCCUACGGGAGGCAGCAGUGGGGAAUAUUGCACAAUGGGCGCAAGCCUGAUGCAGCCAUGCCGCGUGUAUGAAGAAGGCCUUCGGGUUGUAAAGUACUUUCAGCAGUGAGGAAGGUGGAUGUGUUAAUAGCACAUUCAUUUGACGUUAGCUGCAGAAGAAGCACCGGCUAACUCCGUGCCAGCAGCCGCGGUAAUACGGAGGGUGCGAGCGUUAAUCGGAAUUACUGGGCGUAAAGCGCAUGCAGGUGGAUGAUUAAGUCAGAUGUGAAAGCCCGGGGCUCAACCUCGGAAUAGCAUUUGAAACUGGUCAUCUAGAGUACUGUAGAGGGGGGUAGAAUUUCA